UGUCGUAGUUUAACGAUUGCGAAUAAGUUUAGAUAACAUUCAAUAGUUGAAUAUUGGUAAAUUCAUGGAAAUUCGAUUUAUCAUGACCACAAAAUUGGUUUUUGAUUCUAAAAUUAUUCGUUUCUCGGAAAAAAUGAUACGUAUGCAUGUAUUUAUUCGUAAAUUUACGAACUGAGCGCUCUUUGUUGGUACCGCGUGUGACUCUGUGAUACCGUAAGCUAAGAUAGAAUUAUUUUGCAACGAUUUAAAAAAAUCCAAAAUUAGAAUAGCUACUUCAUAGGGCAUUGCAGUGUCCGAGCUUGACAUAUUUAUGAUACGAAUGGCCGGAGUGGCACUGUCCAAAGAUAUUCGAUAUUUAUUGAGUCGUAUUUGUGGGGAUAACAAAAUUUUUCUCAACAUUUAGCUAUAAAGCAUGUUUCUAAAAAUUAUAAAGUUCAAAAUUAUCCGUGCUUGAACCGUUGAUUUUGUCUUUUUCGAAAUCGUUGCCAGAAUUUGGCGUAAGCAGUUAUAUAAACCAGCUAUUCUGAUGUACCUAUAAUAAAGAUAAAUCUCGCGGUAAAUUUCGAAGAAUUUUGAUACACGGAUUACCUGCAACUCGUUUUCAAACGAAUUGAAAAUUUCGCAUUGUAUCAAAGAAUCUUCAAUAGUUACCGCUUACCGUAAGACUGCUUAAAAAUUACCGAUGGAGUGUUAUAUGACGUAUGGUGCUGGGCUAAGUCCGGUCAGCAAAUUUUGUUUUGAAAUUGUUUUCUUACGCGAAUACAUUUCUAACAAAAUUUGCUACGAAUUUCUUAGCCCAUUGAAUUGAACUGAUCAUGCGGUGUUACUAGAGUUAAGAAUUUGUCGAGAUAUGAUCUAUAUAUUUAUUCUUCAGAAACGAUUCUUUAUUUUCUGUUUUUUGUUCAUUUCGUUCUCUAUUCUAUAUAUAUAUCCUUACAAUGGGACAUUUUGAGCUGAUUUUAAACACACGGUUGAGGGGGAAAACGUUUUUCGAGGCAGCAGCUUUCAGAUCAUCCGUACGAUCUUUAACGAUCGAUUCAAAUCUUCUAUAAACUGACUCAUUUCAAAUACUGCCGAAUUUACUACAUGCAUGAUAAAUUGAUUUUUCUUUACGUCUUUCUAAAUGUACUGCCAUUCAAUUAUUUACAUUCACACUAAUGUGUGUGUUUUUUUCGCGCACCCUCGUUCCCAUCAGCAGGUAAACGACGUUUCCUCCUCGACCGUAACGGACUAUUAUCACUGCCAAAAUCCCACGAAACUGCGUCAAAGAUUUGAAAAAAAAGCUCUCCUAAAAGUGGGAAUAAAAUUUUCAAAUUUUCACGGCCUCUACUUGAUAGGUAUUUAUUUUUUGACAUAGACUCUAACUUUAGUAAUUGAUAGGCUUGUGUACUUCUCACUUAUUAACGAUGCCCAUAUACCACAGCUCAACGUGAGUAGUAAAUCGUAGUGAUAGUAAAGAUAAAUUUAAAAUUAAUUGAAUCGAUUCGGAGUAAAAAAUUCUAAAAACUUUCACGUAGAAAAUAUCAAUCUAGAUUAAAACAACACAGCUGGACCAAGGGCUGUUUAAACGUGGCUCGGGUAAUGUGAGAUUGUACAAGCAUACAUUCCAGACAUAUUGUAUAGCUAUAUUGUAUACAUGUCGAUAUAAAAAUAACCCGUUAGCGUUUGAUAAGAAAUUCGCAGAAAACAGUAGAGCGUCGUUUAGGGAAA
This is a long non-coding RNA of Diprion similis, 1710 nucleotides long. RefSeq lists it as uncharacterized. The transcript is spliced from 3 exons. The record is from RefSeq and is a predicted model, not a curated record. NCBI's taxonomy places the organism in Eukaryota, Metazoa, Arthropoda, Insecta, Hymenoptera, Diprionidae.